RNAcentral lists this ribosomal RNA (262 nucleotides) under uncultured archaeon. RNAcentral describes it as "partial 16S ribosomal RNA". It matches the Rfam family "Archaeal small subunit ribosomal RNA", at positions 748 to 1008 of the family's 1478-position model. The record is from RNAcentral.
UAGGCGUAAAUGAUGCGAGUUAAGUGUGGGGGCAUCUACGAGAUGGCCCUGUGCUGUAGGGUAGCCGUUAAACUCGCUGCCUGGGGAGUACGGUCGCAAGGCUGAAACUUAAAGGAAUUGGGCGGGGGAGCACCACAACGGGUGGAGCUUGCGGUUUAAUUGGAUUCAACGCCGGAAAUCUUACCGGGACCGACAGCAACAUGAAGGCCAGGCUGAAGACUUUGCCGGAUUAGCUGAGAGGAGGUGCAUGGCGUCAGUGACU